GAGCGAGGAAACAGGGCCAGAGAAUUGGAACAAAAUACAAGGCUGCCUCUGAAAGUAAUUUGCAAGCAGAUGGAACUUCAAUAUGGCAAUAGAGAAAGAAUCAAUUAGACCAGAGUCUCCUCAGGAAGACUUUCUAUAGGUGGACGGUCCCCUGGAGAGCCCGCUGUGUUGGAAGAUGUAGAAUAUUCAUAUAUCUGGUGAGCAUCUGCUAGAUGCCAGGGUUGGGGAGAGUCAAGUUGAAGCAAGCAUGAACCCUCAAGGACCUACCAUUUCAAGGCAAGAAAUAGAUACAAAUACAGGGGUACAAGCUGGAAAAGGGGAAAAUGAAUCAUGCUACAGGCCAAGUGUCCAUCACUGAUUCCCAGAGAUGCCCUUUGUGUGGUAGGCACUUCCAUGUGGACUCGCUACAGAGUUUGGAGUUCCUGAACAACAUGGACAGUGUUAAUUUGGAUUCCAUGCUUCAUGGCACAGAAUUGGAGCACUAACUACUCAGUGAUGACUUUCUCUUCCUCUAGCUAAGGUGAUCAACAAGUUUCCUUGUUCUUUCUCCAAGUAGUAGAAGAAAGUAAAGGUCAUAAGACCCUAAUUCCAGAGGGCCCUACCCUAUAACCAGAAGGAAGAACUAUUGCACAGAGAAUCUAAGAAGAAUCUAGACAGACAGCCCUUGCUGGAUUUCUCCACUCUGUUAGCAUUCGAUCAUUUGCCUUUUGUCCAGUCAUAUUUCUGCAUGGCUGUCCAUACUUUGUUGAACCUAAGCACAAAAUGGAAAGUUUUCCCUGUAUCUUUGGGUCGUCAUUCUGAAGGCUCCCAUGUUAUGUAAAACUAUGAUCAAAUAAAUAUGCAUGCCUUUUCUCCUAUAA
Molecule: long non-coding RNA, 860 nt
Filed under: Homo sapiens (human)
Lineage: Eukaryota; Metazoa; Chordata; Mammalia; Primates; Hominidae
Description: long intergenic non-protein coding RNA 1643
Source: RNAcentral